Molecule: ribosomal RNA, 253 nt
Filed under: uncultured bacterium
Lineage: Bacteria
Description: partial 16S ribosomal RNA
Rfam family: Bacterial small subunit ribosomal RNA
Source: RNAcentral
UACGUGGGGGGCGAGCGUUGUCCGGAAUCAUUGGGCGUAAAGAGCGUGUAGGCGGCUUGGCAAGUCUGACGUGAAAGCCCGCGGCUCAACCGCGGAUUGUCGUUGGAAACUGCCUCGCUAGAGUCCGGAAGAGGAGAGCGGAAUUCCUGGUGUAGCGGUGGAAUGCGCAGAUAUCAGGAGGAACACCGGUGGCGAAGGCGGAUCUCUGGGCCUUACCUGACGCUGAGGCGCGAAAGCUAGGGGAGCAAACAGG